CGGGACGGGUGAGUAAUGUCUGGGAAACUGCCUGAUGGAGGGGGGUAACUACUGGAAACGGUAGCUAAUACCGCAUAACGUCGCAAGACCAAAGAGGGGGACCUUAGGGCCUCUUGCCAUCGGAUGUGCCCAGAUGGGAUUAGCUAGUAGGUGGAGUAACGGCUCACCUAGGCGACGAUCCCUAGCUGGUCUGAGAGGAUGACCAGCCACACUGGAACUGAGACACGGUCCAG
Molecule: ribosomal RNA, 233 nt
Filed under: uncultured bacterium
Lineage: Bacteria
Description: partial 16S ribosomal RNA
Rfam family: Bacterial small subunit ribosomal RNA
Source: RNAcentral